GAUGAAGAACGUAGCGAAAUGCGAUAAGUAGUGUGAAUUGCAGAAUUCAGUGAAUCAUCGAAUCUUUGAACGCACAUUGCGCCCCUUGGUAUUCCAUGGGGCUUGCCUGUUCGAGCGUCAUUUGUACCUUCAAGCUUUGCUUGGUGUUGGGUGUUUGUCCAUUCUCUUGCAGAGGGACUCGCCUUAAAGUAAUUGGCAGCCAGUGUUUUGGUUUUGAAGCGCAGCACAAGUCGCGAUUCAAAGCUAUACGCCCGCUUCCACAAGCCUUUUUCACUUUUGACCUCGGAUCAGGUAGGGAUACCCGCUGAACUUAAGCAUAUCAAUAAGCGGAGGA
Molecule: unclassified non-coding RNA, 334 nt
Filed under: soil metagenome
Description: partial contains 5.8S ribosomal RNA, internal transcribed spacer 2, and large subunit ribosomal RNA
Rfam family: 5.8S ribosomal RNA (bases 1-120)
Source: RNAcentral